AGAAUUUGAUGAUGGAGCUUCGUA
Molecule: non-coding RNA, 24 nt
Filed under: Arabidopsis thaliana (thale cress)
Lineage: Eukaryota; Viridiplantae; Streptophyta; Magnoliopsida; Brassicales; Brassicaceae
Source: RNAcentral